RNAcentral lists this small nucleolar RNA (107 nucleotides) under Gossypium arboreum. RNAcentral's name for it is "Plant small nucleolar RNA R71". It matches the Rfam family "Plant small nucleolar RNA R71". Rfam says of the family: R71 is a member of the C/D box family of snoRNAs containing the C (UGAUGA) and D (CUGA) box motifs. Multiple nearly identical copies of this snoRNA have been identified in Arabidopsis, and it is thought to function as a 2'-O-ribose methylation guide for 18S ribosomal RNA. The record is from Rfam by way of RNAcentral. Lineage: Eukaryota; Viridiplantae; Streptophyta; Magnoliopsida; Malvales; Malvaceae.
AGCCCAUGGUGAGGGCAUCUUCUCAAGAGGUCCUUGUAUUUCUCCUAUGCAUCAUAGAGUGUCUCUAGAUCCAUCUGCACAAAAGAAGAGAUAUCAUUCCUCAAUUU